GACGAACGCUGGCGGCGUGCUUAACACAUGCAAGUCGAACGGAAAGGCCCUGCUUUUGUGGGGUGCUCGAGUGGCGAACGGGUGAGUAACACGUGAGUAACCUGCCCUUGACUUUGGGAUAACUUCAGGAAACUGGGGCUAAUACCGGAUAGGAGCUCCUGCUGCAUGGUGGGGGUUGGAAAGUUUCGGCGGUUGGGGAUGGACUCGCGGCUUAUCAGCUUGUUGGUGGGGUAGUGGCUUACCAAGGCUUUGACGGGUAGCCGGCCUGAGAGGGUGACCGGCCACAUUGGGACUGAGAUACGGACCAGACUCCUACGGGAGACAGCAGUGGGGAAUAUUGCACAAUGGGCGGAAGCCUGAUGCAGCAACGCCGCGUGCGGGAUGACGGCCUUCGGGUUGUAAACCGCUUUCGCCUGUGACGAAGCGUGAGUGACGGUAAUGGGUAAAGAAGCACCGGCUAACUACGUG
RNAcentral lists this ribosomal RNA (468 nucleotides) under uncultured bacterium. RNAcentral describes it as "partial 16S ribosomal RNA". It matches the Rfam family "Bacterial small subunit ribosomal RNA", at positions 28 to 507 of the family's 1533-position model. The record is from RNAcentral.